AUUGAACGCUGGCGGCAUGCCUUACACAUGCAAGUCGAACGGCAGCACGGGUGCUUGCACCUGGUGGCGAGUGGCGAACGGGUGAGUAAUAUAUCGGAACGUACCUUAUUGUGGGGGAUAACGCAGCGAAAGCUGUGCUAAUACCGCAUAAUCCCUAAGGGGGAAAGCGGGGGACCGUAAGGCCUCGCGCAAUUAGAGCGGCCGAUACCUGAUUAGCUAGUUGGUGAGGUAAAGGCUCACCAAGGCAACGAUCAGUAGCUGGUCUGAGAGGACGAUCAGCAACACUGGGACUGAGACACGGCCCAGACUCCUACGGGAGGCAGCAGUGGGGAAUUUUGGACAAUGGGGGCAACCCUGAUCCAGCAAUGCCGCGUGAGUGAAGAAGGCCUUCGGGUUGUAAAGCUCUUUUGUCAGGGAAGAAACAGCAGCUCUAACACAGUUUGCGAAUGACGGUACCUGAAGAAUAAGCACCGGCUAACUACGUGCCAGCCGCCGCAGUAA
This 501-nucleotide ribosomal RNA is filed under the name uncultured bacterium. RNAcentral's name for it is "partial 16S ribosomal RNA". It matches the Rfam family "Bacterial small subunit ribosomal RNA", at positions 30 to 523 of the family's 1533-position model. The record is from RNAcentral.